GUGCUCACUUUGGCAGCACAUAGACUAAAAUUGGAACGAUGUAGAGAAGAAUAGCAUGGCCCCUGUGCAAGAAUGACACGCAAACUCGUGAAUCGUUCAAGAUUAUU
This is a small nuclear RNA of Dipodomys ordii (Ord's kangaroo rat), 107 nucleotides long. The record is from Ensembl. Lineage: Eukaryota; Metazoa; Chordata; Mammalia; Rodentia; Heteromyidae.